RNAcentral lists this small nuclear RNA (71 nucleotides) under Echinops telfairi (small Madagascar hedgehog). Lineage: Eukaryota; Metazoa; Chordata; Mammalia; Afrosoricida; Tenrecidae. The record is from RNAcentral.
GUGCUUGCUUCGGCAGCACAAUACUAAAAUUGGAACAAUACAGAAAAGAUUUGCAUGCCCCACGCAGGAGG